This 458-nucleotide ribosomal RNA is filed under the name uncultured bacterium. RNAcentral describes it as "partial 16S ribosomal RNA". It matches the Rfam family "Bacterial small subunit ribosomal RNA", at positions 338 to 795 of the family's 1533-position model. The record is from RNAcentral.
CCUACGGGUGGCAGCAGUGAGGAAUAUUGGUCAAUGGCCGGAAGGCUGAACCAGCCAUGCCGCGUGAAGGUCAGUGCCCUAUGGGCGUUAAACUUCUUUUGUGCGGGAGCAAAGUCACCCACGUGUGGGUGUUGGAGAGUACCUGAAGAAAAGGCAUCGGCUAACUCCGUGCCAGCAGCCGCGGUAAUACGGAGGAUGCGAGCGUUAUCCGGAUUUAUUGGGUUUAAAGGGUGCGUAGGCGGGUUAUCAAGUCAGCGGUAAAAUCGUGGAGCUCAACUCUAUCCAGCCGUUGAAACUGAUGAUCUUGAGUGGGCGAGAAGUAUGCGGAAUGCGUGGUGGAGCGGUGAAAUGCAUAGAUAUCACGCAGAACUCCGAUUGCGAAGGCAGCAUACCGGCGCCCGACUGACGCUGAAGCACGAAAGCGUGGGUAUCGAACAGGAUUAGAUACCCUUGUAGUC